AUCCAGCUGACGCGACCCAAGUAGGACGAAACGCGCGUCGUGGAU
This 45-nucleotide non-coding RNA is filed under the name Schistosoma curassoni. Lineage: Eukaryota; Metazoa; Platyhelminthes; Trematoda; Strigeidida; Schistosomatidae. The record is from RNAcentral.